ACAAAAGUCUGUUCUUGCUCGCUGAGGAAGCCGGAGUCCCUAACACACUCCAGCCCACAGGAUGCAGAGAGGCUGUGAGCUCAAGGGUGGAAAUUAUAGCUCAUGCAUCAACAAAUUCUCUACACUAGACGGGACCUGCAGUAAAUGUUUGCUGAAUGACUGAAUGAAGGAUGAGGCCAUGUUCAUCAGCACAAGAAACCUUUCACCUGGACCUGCUCUAGAGCCUUCCCACGCUGACUGAUCCUGCUGGGACGCAGGCCAGCGGCCCUCCAUCCGGAAACUCGGAACUUGCUUACCUGCUCACGCUGGAAUGGUAUUAUAUUAAGGCACCUGGAACUAUAGUAGAUAUUUAUUAACCCCACCACAUGGAGGGGACUCCAAGAGUCUGUCGUGAAGGUACUUUCCCCUGGUCCAUGGUGUUUAGCUUUUCUAGUCUCCUCGCAGCCAGGAGUGGCCCUGUGACCCUGUGACCCUGCGCUGGCCCCUGAGACAAACGUGGAAUUCCUUUGGCAGCUGCAGCUGGGGCCUUGCCUGUGCUUCCUGUUCCGGGAGGCAAGCACCGGGAUGAAACCAUGUGCUAAAGGUGGGAGGGGGUGGAGGACGGGGGAAACAUAGACAGAACCAUCAUGAGAACCAUCAUGAACACACUUGUUCUAGAAUCUAGAUGGACCCAGACAUUUUCACUCAAAAGGAAAUCCAGCAGGUCCCUUCAGUUCUGUGGGGAAGCAAUGAGGUAGCCAAGUUUGGGUGUGGGAUCUGGCCACAGACACAUCCCAGUUCAAGUCCUCACCAGGGGUGUGCCGGGAGUCAGUCGUCUGGGCCUCCCUUCCUCCCCUGCGGAAUGGGACUAAGGCACUCACUCACCUUGCAGGGCGGUGUGAGCGCGAAUGAGAGAACGCACUUUAAAUGCUUGGUCUCCUAUCUAGCACACAGCAAGCACUAAAACAAACAUUUUCGACUACAAAUGCAGACCACCCCCCUCUGCCCCCACGCCCCUCCCCAGCAAAACUGUCUUGAAGCCAACUUUUCAAACUAACAGCCCUUUCCAGACCGGGCUUGGAAAGUUGCACCCGUUUCCUAAGCUGCUGAGCAGUCUUUCUUCAAACCCUGGCUGCCUCUCCCCUGCCAUUUCUGUAACCACAGGCCGCAAGAGGAAGCCUAAAAUACUCUACAAAGACAGCCCCCAAUGUCCCAGUUGAUGUAACAACUGUAGUACCCAAAUGAAAAUUAUCUCAGGUUAAGGAGUUUUUUGUUUUUUUAUUAAUGUUUGGAGAGAGAGGAAGGGAGAGGGGGGAGGGGGGAGAGUGGAAUAUCGACUGGCUCUCCCACAUGUCCCGCACUGGUGUUUGAGCCUGUAACCUGGGCACGUGCUCUGACCGGGAAUUGAACCAGCAACCCUCAGUGCACGGGAGGACACCCAAGAACCAAGCCACACCAGCCAGGGCAGGUGAAGGAGGGUUUUAAAAGCCUAUCCAGAUAAGAGAGAGCAAGGCUGUGAAGCAGAGGCUUGAAGUGGCUGGCCGAGGUGUAUGUGACAUUCUUUUUUCCUCCCCCAACCUGUGUGUGAAAGAUUCUCUCUCUCUCUCUCUCUCUCUCUCUCUCUCUCUCUCUCUCUCUCUCUCGCACUGGCUCUGUGAUCAAGUCAAAAACCUACAAGUAGGCCUGCGGGCUGGACACCAGGGAACAGGCACAGCUCAGGCCCAAAGGUCGCCUGGCAGAAUUCCCUCUUUCGGGGAGGCCAGUCUUUCUUCUAUUAAGGCUUUCAACGGACCGGCUGUGGCCCACCACUACAGAGGGUAAUCUGCUUUCCUCAGCACUAAUCUCAUCUAAAAACUACCUUCACAGAAACAUCUAGAAUAAAGUUUGACCAAAUAUCUGGGUCCCAUCGCCCAGCUAAGUUGCACAUAAAGCUAACCACCCCAGGGGUUUACAGUAACCAAUGCAAACAAGUUCCACUCCAACAGGGGACAACUCCGUCUGUCCUUCAGUUCUCCACUGUCAGCCUCCUGCGGUCUGGCUGGCCCCCUGCCCCUCUUCCCCCCUCCCUUCCUCCCUGCUCUACCUGCCCCACCAGGAGCGAAGCCCAUUCUGUCCUUGGGGCCUGCACAGCAGUUUGGCUCUCCAUCAACUGCCAGGUUCCCACAGUCCAUCAAGGCAUCAGUCCCUGGGAGGCUUUGUCACCUGCCUGGGGACACAGCUAGGAAGGGUGGAGCUGGCAUUUACACCCAGAUGUUCUGACACAGAAGUCUGGGUUCUGACCCUACUCAGACUGCUUACAUCUGAAAUGUGCUACACAGGAUCAUGUUAGAUGGUCUCACGGGUACAUUUAAAGACAUUUCUAGACUUAAAUAUUCAAUUUAAUGUGGACUAGGAAAAGAGCAUGAACUAACUCAUCAAAGUAAUGAUUUCAUGGGUAUAAUUACACAGGAAGAGGCCGAAUUUAAAAAGGUGAGCCAACAAAAGGAAAACACCAUGAAAAUAAAACUGAAGGCAGCCUGGGGCAGAUAUUAUUGCCAUCAGGUGGUGCCCGAAGGAGGAGCCUGGAGAGCCUAGCCUGGAUCCACAGCCCUGGGCGAGGAGGUAAGGAGUUAACUGGUCCUGAAUCCUCCUGCUGCUCAUGGGUGAUGGCCCCAUAGACGACACUGAGGGAUUUUGUUUUUUUCCCCCUAAAAUCAAAAGAGCGGAAAUCCGGGACUCUACUCUUAUUUCUUUGAGCUCAGUGAGGGAACAAAACCUAUUCAUCAGCUCCAUCCACAGGGGCAGUCAAAGGCUCCAAUUCCCAAGGGAGAAUCGGCUCUCCCCACACCCUGAAACCUGACCUGUGAAUGUGGCUGCCACCCAGCCAGUGACUGCUCUUUCUCAGUGACGCCGAGACCGACACAGGCUGCACGAGAGUCAGGGCCCCGGGUUGGCACCCUGGCUCUGCCACUAACCCAGACUGUGCCCCAGCAAUGAUGAUCCACCAAUGAAAACCACACUGGCUAACAAUUAUGGACACGUAUAGUCUGGCAGGCACCGUGCCAAAUGCUUCACAACAUUACAACACAACAACCCCGACUAACAGGUGCUAUUAUUAUCCUUAUUUUAUAGGCAGGAAACUGAAGCACAGAGAGGUGCUUAACUUAACUCAAGAGCCCUUUCUCGACAUCAUUCCCUGUGACCCUGAAGACAGACUUUGGCUCCAGCACUUGGAGAUCAAGGAGUCAGAGCUUCCUGGCAGCUGUGGGAAGGGGUAGAGAUUCUGACUCAGGGGGCCCACGGCUGGAGUGACCUCAAGCAUCCCUGAUGUGGGCGCCCCAGGCCCCCACUUUGAAGACACUGUUUUCCAACGUUCUGUCUCUGGCCAGCUGGUCUGACCCAGAGGCCUGCAAACUAGGAGCCCAUGUGCCAAAUGCAGUGUUUUUGUAGGGCCAAUCAGAGUAAGAAUGGUCUUUACACCUUUAAAUAGUUGGGAAAAAUCCAAAGAAUAAUAUUUCAUGAUGUGAAAAUUACAUGAAAUUCAAAUUUCAGUGUCCAUAACUAAGGUUUGUUUGGACACAGUCACGUUCAUUCAUGGACAGAUGCAGCUGCCUCUGCUUCUGUAAAAUAACGGCAGAGUUGGGUAGUUGCAACAGAGGCCAAAUGGCCCACAAAACCAGAAGUAUUACUACUGAUCCUUUACAGAAAAGUCUGCAGAGACUGGCCUAGUCCACCCCCCAGCCAAUGCGGGACUCAUCUUUACAGUCCCUUCCCUCUGGCCUCUGCUUUCACACCUCCAGUGGUGGGGAGCUCACUACCAAGCCAGGCAGCCAGUUCCAUCUCUGAAAGGUGGUAGGGACAGCUAUCUGUGCUGGCACUGGACUCUCUCUGAGCCUUGUGGAAUCAGCCCUGUCAUUCCUCCACAAUGGCCAUCAGUUCCUCUCUUCCCUCUGGUAUCAAUCCUUCCCUGUCCUCACCUGUCCCCUCAGUUGUUCCCCACCGAUCCCCUGGGGAACAGGGAGAACAGCAGGUGGCUCUGCUACUUGACAGACAAGGGUGCGGGAGAUGCAGAGGGAGCGUGGCAGGACAGAGCUGGAGCUGGACCCAGGGUUCCUGCCUCCCAGCCUGGUGGCCCCUCGACAACGUUGCUUGAGCGUCCAGUUUGGUUUUCAGCUCAUCACUCCCAAAAUGGCAUCCCAGAGGGCCCGAGGUAUGCUCUCCCUAGUGGACACCUGUGGUCUCUUGUCCACGAUUCCUUCUUGUGGCUCGGCUUUUGUGGCUCCAAGAGCAGCUCUCCCAUCCACCCCAGGGUUCAGCCUUAGGCUCUGAGAUCUCCCAUCACAUCCAGCUACCCGUCCCCCUACCCUGACGACUGGGGGCUGGUCCCCAGGGUGCCCACAUUUACAGUCGCUGCUGGUGUGCCGCUUGCUUUCAUGAGUCCGCUGGGUCUCUGGCUCAAAGACCAGCGGUGAGGUGACAGCCAGAAAUUGAAAAUGGAUUGGUGGGUUGCCCUCUGACGUCUGUCUCUAAGAUGUGGCCAGUGAGAUGGGUCCUCAGAGAAUACCUGGGAAAGGUUUUGAAAUCCUUGGAAGAAGGCGGCUGUGUCAACACUGCCUAGUCCUAGUUCUCCCAGAUCCUUCCAGCCACAGCCUGCGCUCCUGGGGAGUCUGCUACUCUCAGGUGAGGGAGAGUGACCUGGAAACCGGCCAGAACCUUGUGUGAGUCACAGCCGGGAAAGCUAGUCUGUAGGUAGAACAGUAACUGUGGAUCUUGAAGGGUGGGACUGAUGUAAAUUUCAACUAAGCAGUGGUCAGCCAGAGACAGCGUGAUGAGGAUGCAAGAGAGGAGCCUGGCUCUGUGUCCGGACUCCCACCUGAUGAGCUGUGAGGCCUCGGGCAGUGAUACCUUCCCUUAGACUUUUGGUGAAAAGGGGAAAGAUAGGCAUCUCUUAUAGGGCCACAGUGAAGAGUUAUACUGAGGAGACUAGCAUGGCACCUGGCACGUGGUAUUUGCUCACAAACUGUUACCUUCCUUUUCCCCUAACAUAAUGGGACAGUGCCCUGCUGGUGUGAUGAUGAUGGAAAUAAUACAAAUGAUGAUGGUGACAGCAAGAGCUACGGUUUCACGCCCCCCGGCAAGGUGCCAGGCUCUCUCCAGGGAUAUCUCACUUCGUUCUCACACCCACCCUGAGAGGUAGAUGCUGGUAUGACCACCAUUCCACCGCCGAGGAAGCGGAAGCUCAAGCGCAAAGGCAGACAGCGAGGGAGCCUGAGCGCUGGGUGCUUUUGAGAGAGCACAAAAGCAAUGGCUGGACCUGAAGGGGUCAGAGAAGACCUCAGGGUGAGGUGACGAUGCCUGGGGUCGGAAGGGUGCACAGAGGGGCAGGGUGAGGGAGCAGCACCGGAGCUCUGUGAGUGGUACCCCUGAUGAACACCAUUAGAACCACUGUGCCUGGGGACGCCAAUUCUACGGGGCUCUACUCUCAACAGGGACGGAGUUGGCAGCCUUGAGAUUAUUUCACUCCUGCAGUUUACAGAAAUACAAGCAGCUAAAACUAGGGCACCAAUAAUCACAGAUAUCGGUGGUACUUCUGCUUCUUUAUCUAAAAGAAAAAAUAUGGAAUACUGAGAGCAUUAACUCAAUGGCUGAUAUUCUUCAUUUAAUUUUACUUUUAUAGCUUCUUCUGCUUUGGUGCAAACCUCAGUGGCUCUGGGGAUUUCAUCUGAGCUUUCCUAUCAUUUCACUGGGAUCCGGGUGAGUCACACUUUCCAGCUUCCCCUCUCUGGGCCUCAGUGUCCUGUGUAAAAUGAAGGCGAUGGGCCCAGCCGGGGUGGUUCAGUCGUUGAGCGUCGACCCAUGAACCAGGAGGUCACGGUUCGAAUCCCUGUUGGUGGAGUGCAGGAGGCAGCCGAUCGGUGAUUCUCUCUCGUUAUUGAUGUUUCUCUCUCUCUCCCUUCCUCUCUCUGAAAUCAAUAAAAACAUAUUUUUAAAAAAUGAAGGCGAUGGGCUGGAGUAGAGAUUUUCAGUAUGUGGUUUCCAACCCAGUGUCAUCAGCAUCCCCUGGGACCUCGUUAGAAAUACCAAUUCUAGGGCUUUGCCCCAGACCUCUGGGGUGGGGCCCCACCUGCCAUAAGGGUUAGCGUUAGACGAGCCCCAGGGUAAGGGCCCCUCCCGCAGCAACACUUGGCUUGUGCUUUAAGGCAUUAUGACUUGGAUAGUCUUUCUUGCCCAAGGAGGCCACGCUUGAGCGUAGGAAGAGAAGCUGUUUUCUCUGACCACGAGGCCCGAGUCCAGGCGAGCCUCUCUAGAAA
Molecule: long non-coding RNA, 6269 nt
Organism: Myotis myotis
Lineage: Eukaryota; Metazoa; Chordata; Mammalia; Chiroptera; Vespertilionidae
Exons: 3
Source: RefSeq, a predicted model, not a curated record